GACGAACGCUGGCGGCGUGCCUAAUACAUGCAAGUUGAGCGCUGAAGGUUGGUACUUGUACCAACUGGAUGAGCAGCGAACGGGUGAGUAACGCGUGGGGAAUCUGCCUUUGAGCGGGGGACAACAUUUGGAAACGAAUGCUAAUACCGCAUAAAAACUUUAAACACAAGUUUUAAGUUUGAAAGAUGCAAUUGCAUCACUCAAAGAUGAUCCCGCGUUGUAUUAGCUAGUUGGUGAGGCAAAGGCUCACCAAGGCGAUGAUACAUAGCCGACCUGAGAGGGUGAUCGGCCACAUUGGGACUGAGACACGGCCCAAACUCCUACGGGAGGCAGCAGUAGGGAAUCUUCGGCAAUGGACGAAAGUCUGACCGAGCAACGCCGCGUGAGUGAAGAAGGUUUUCGGAUCGUAAAACUCUGUUGGUAGAGAAGAACGUUGGUGAGAGUGGAAAGCUCAUCAAGUGACGGUAACUACCCAGAAAGGGACGGCUAACUACGUG
Molecule: ribosomal RNA, 497 nt
Filed under: uncultured bacterium
Lineage: Bacteria
Description: partial 16S ribosomal RNA
Rfam family: Bacterial small subunit ribosomal RNA
Source: RNAcentral